GACGAACGCUGGCGGCGUGCUUAACACAUGCAAGUCGAACGGUAAGGCCCUUCGGGGUACACGAGUGGCGAACGGGUGAGUAACACGUGGGUGAUCUGCCCUGCACUUCGGGAUAAGCCUGGGAAACUGGGUCUAAUACCGGAUAGGACUCCGGACUGCAUGGUCUGGGGUGGAAAGCUUUUGCGGUGUGGGAUGGGCCCGCGGCCUAUCAGCUUGUUGGUGGGGUGAUGGCCUACCAAGGCGACGACGGGUAGCCGGCCUGAGAGGGUGACCGGGCACACUGGGACUGAGGUACGGCCCAGGCGCGUACGGGAGGCAGCAGUGGGGAAUAUUGCACAAUGGGCGCAAGCCUGAUGCAGCGACGCCGCGUGAGGGAUGACGGCCUUCGGGUUGUAAACCUCUUUCAGCACAGACGAAGCGCAAGUGACGGUAUGUGCAGAAGAAGGACCGGCCAACUACGUGCCAGCCGCCGCGGUAA
RNAcentral lists this ribosomal RNA (478 nucleotides) under uncultured bacterium. RNAcentral describes it as "partial 16S ribosomal RNA". It matches the Rfam family "Bacterial small subunit ribosomal RNA", at positions 28 to 523 of the family's 1533-position model. The record is from RNAcentral.